RNAcentral lists this ribosomal RNA (241 nucleotides) under uncultured bacterium. RNAcentral describes it as "partial 16S ribosomal RNA". It matches the Rfam family "Bacterial small subunit ribosomal RNA", at positions 330 to 591 of the family's 1533-position model. The record is from RNAcentral.
GCCUGCCUACGGGGCGCAGCAGUGGGGAAUAUUGCACAAUGGGGGAAACCCUGAUGCAGCGACGCCGCGUGAGUGGAGAAGUAUUUCGGUAUGUAAAGCUCUAUCGGCAGGGAAGAUAAUGACGGUACCUGAGUAAGAAGCCCCGGCUAACUACGUGCCAGCAGCCGCGGGGAUACGUAGGGGGGAAGCGUUAUCCGGAUUUACUUGGUGUAAAGGGAGCGUAGACGGCAUGGCAAGGCUG